This 392-nucleotide ribosomal RNA is filed under the name uncultured Gammaproteobacteria bacterium. RNAcentral describes it as "bacterial SSU rRNA". It matches the Rfam family "Bacterial small subunit ribosomal RNA", at positions 370 to 779 of the family's 1533-position model. The record is from RNAcentral. Lineage: Bacteria; Pseudomonadati; Pseudomonadota; Gammaproteobacteria.
AAUGGGGGAAACCCUGAUGCAGCGAUGCCGCGUGAGUGAAGAAGGCCCUUGGGUUGUAAAACUCUUUCGUCGGGGAAGAAAAUGACUGUACCCGAAUAAGAAGGUCCGGCUAACUUCGUGCCAGCAGCCGCGGUAAUACGAAGGGACCUAGCGUAGUUCGGAAUUACUGGGCUUAAAGAGCUCGUAGGUGGUUAAAAAAGUUGAUGGUGAAAUCCCAAGGCUCAACCUCGGAACUGCCAUCAAAACUUUUUAGCUAGAGUGUGAUAGAGGUAAGUGGAAUUUCUAGUGUAGAGGUGAAAUUCGUAGAUAUUAGAAAGAACACCAAAUGCGAAGGCAACUUACUGGGUCACUACUGACACUGAGGAGCGAAAGCAUGGGUAGCGAAGAGGAUU